UGGCGUCCGUGGGCACGGUCUGGGGUGCCGCGGCCGCCUGCUGUGCGACCGGGGCCGCCGGCCGCGACGGCGGGACGUAGUC
This 82-nucleotide transfer RNA is filed under the name Mycolicibacterium sp. NCC-Tsukiji. RNAcentral describes it as "tRNA-Ser". The record is from RNAcentral. Lineage: Bacteria; Bacillati; Actinomycetota; Actinomycetes; Mycobacteriales; Mycobacteriaceae.